This 956-nucleotide ribosomal RNA is filed under the name uncultured fungus. RNAcentral describes it as "SSU rRNA". It matches the Rfam family "Eukaryotic small subunit ribosomal RNA", at positions 427 to 1415 of the family's 1831-position model. The record is from RNAcentral. Lineage: Eukaryota; Fungi.
AGCAGGCGCGCAAAUUACCCAAUCCUGAUACAGGGAGGUAGUGACAAUAAAUAACAAUACAGAACUUUCGAGUUUUGUAAUUGGAAUGAGAACAAUUUAAAUCCCUUAACGAGGAACAAUUGGAGGGCAAGUCUGGUGCCAGCAGCCGCGGUAAUUCCAGCUCCAAUAGCGUAUAUUCAAGUUGUUGCAGUUAAAAAGCUCGUAGUUGAAUUUUGGCGCUGGUUGUGUGGUUUGGACUCGCGUUCAAUACUGCAGGACUGGCGCUUUCCUUCUAGGGAACUAGCGUGCCAUUAAUUUGGUGGGCUAGGGAUCUAGGACUGUUACUUUGAAAAAAUUAGAGUGUUUAAAACAGGCUUAUGCUUGAAUACAUUAGCAUGGAAUAACGGAAUAGGACUUUGUCUUAUUUUGUUGGUUUAGGAGACAAAGUAAUGAUUAAUAGGGACGGUUAGGGGCAUUAGUAUUCCACAGUCAGAGGUGAAAUUCUUGGAUUUGUGGAAGACUAACUUCUGCGGAAGCAUUUGCCAGGCACGCUUUCAUUAAUCAGGAACGAAAGUUAGGGGAUCGAAGACGAUCAGAUACCGUCGUAGUCUUAACAGUAAACGAUGCCGAUUCAGGAUCCUAGGGUGUUAUAUUAUUGACCUCUAGGGCACUGUAUGAGAAAUCAAAAUUUUUGGGUUCCGGGGGGAGUAUGGUCGCAAGGCUGAAACUUAAAGGAAUUGACGGAAGGGCACCACCAGGAGUGGAGCCUGCGGCUUAAUUUGACUCAACACGGGGAAACUCACCAGGUCCAGACAUAAGUAGGAUUGACAGAUUGAUAGCUCUUUCUUGAUUUUAUGGGUGGUGGUGCAUGGCCGUUCUUAGUUGGUGGAGUGAUUUGUCUGGUUAAUUCCGUUAACGAACGAGACCUUAACCUGCUAAAUAGUUGUGCCAACUUUGGUUGGCAUCGAAUUCUUAGA